CUGCAAACCAGGAAUUAAAAUUGUCAGGUAAUUAGCACCUGGCUGCUACAGGGAUGCUUCUCCUUGCGAUGCCAUGGGGACAAUGGCCAGAAGCAGGUGCUCGGGCUCGUGGCUGCAUCGCCCGCAUCCUGCACCGCCGGCCCCGCAGCCACCGAGCUUGUGCCACCCUGACACCCCCAGCCCCAGCUCAAAGCUAUUCCAUGGCCAAGCCCUGGGUGCUGCUGCGUCCCUGCUGCUCCCCCAUCCAGCUCCUGUCCCCCCCUUGUGUCCCCAGCAAGGACGGGGCAGUCCCUGCUGUGCCAGCCUCCGUGCCACCCCACGGCACCCGCUGGCAGCAGCUUCCAGCUGGGGCUGCAGGAGGAAAGGGCUUGAUGCUGGUACCAGGCAGGGCAAAGCCUUGCACCAGGGACAGCGUGAUGCUGCUGUGCAAGCUGCAGCUGCAGGCAGGGUGCUGCAGCGGGCUGGGGCUCCUCCUGCACCCACACCCCCGGCUGGGCACAUCCUGCACCCCCAGAUUUGGCUGGGCAUCUCCUGUGUGUACCUGCAAACCCCAAACCGGGCACCUCCUGCACCCCCAGACCCAGCUGGUUGCAUCCUGCACCCCAGACCCAGCUGGGCACCUCCUGCACCCCCAGACCCAGCUGGGCAUCUCCUGUACCUGCAAACCCCAAACCAGGCUCCUCCUGCACCCCCAGACCCAGCUGGUUGCAUCCUGCACCCCAGACCCAGCUGGGCACCUCCUGCACCCCCAGAUCUGGCUGGGCAUCUCCUGUGUGUACCUGCAAGCCCCAAACUGGGCACCUCCUGCACCCCCAGACCCAUCUGGUUGCAUCCUGCACCCCCAGACGCAGCAGGGCACAUUCUGCACCCCCAGACCCAGCUGAGGUGGGAUGUGGGAUGCUCAGACCAGACCAUUGGCACGGCGAUGCUCAGACCUUUGGCAUGGCAAUGCUUGGCCCAUCAGCACAGCAAUUCUUGUCCCAUCAGCAGGGCGAUGCUGCGCCCAUCAGCACGGUGUCUGGCUCUGCUCGGUUCCCCCCCGUGCCCGCGGGGCCCCACCAAGCUCGUGUCCCCCCCCCGGAGCCGGUGUCGAUGGCGGCGGUCUAUCGGCGGGUUUCCAAGGUCAGCUGCAGUCAGUGUGAAUUAAAUCACUCCGGCAGCUCUCCUCCCUGGAGGAGAUCCAGCCCCGGGAAGAACGGCACUACAGAGACCGCGCGGCGCGGCUCAAUGUCACCCACCCCUGUCCCCUGCCACCACCGGGGGCUGCGGCCACCCCAACGGCGAGACCCCCGCCCAUCCCGGCACCACGGUGAGGGGAGAGGGUGGCUGAGCGGACCCCAGCCCUAAAACUCGCCACCAACUUGUGUGGGAGGGUGUCCAGGGAGGGCUCAAACCCACAGCAAGAGGAGCAGAGGUGCCCGGGGUGCCAAGCACCGUGUCCCCUGCAUGCCACCACUGCCACGUGGGACCCAGCACGGGGUCCCUGUGAUGUGCGUGCGUUUUGGGCCCACCCCUGCCAUGUGCACCCCCUGCUGUGCCCCAAGUGCCCACACGUGG
This 1557-nucleotide long non-coding RNA is filed under the name Anas platyrhynchos platyrhynchos (common mallard). RNAcentral's name for it is "lncRNA (ENSAPLG00000027069.1)". Lineage: Eukaryota; Metazoa; Chordata; Aves; Anseriformes; Anatidae. The record is from RNAcentral.